UUCCGGGUUAAACCAGUUUAACGUUAACGGUUUUUGGUUUUUUUUUUAUUGCAGCGGCUGAAAUGAGUCGUAACAUGUGAAAGAGGCGAAAACAUCUUUAAUGUUCAUCUAAUUGAGGAUAUUGUGCUCCAGCUGGACGGAAGAGUGUUUGAGGAAUGAACAUGCCUGAAAAACAGCGGAUGGUGAUUCUGACGCGGUGUUUGAGCUGCAGGCCUGGACUUGAUUCAGCGUCUCAGAGCAGAGGAGCAAAGAUCCUCAGCUAACAUGGUCGGUUUAAUGUCAGUAAAUCAGACGCAGACUGGAGGACAAUCAUCAGAUAAAGAUCUGUGUGACGCUACCUGACUGCAUGGAGCCCACUGAGAUGGAGAGACAAUAUUAAGCACCAUCACACUCAAUACAUUUAACUUAAAGCAGAGACAGUGAAGUGUACAGUGACAGUGAUGAAGAAACUGUAAGUGGAGUCAGGCCGAUACUGAUCCGAGUAUCAGAUCAGUGCAUCCACUGAGUGUUUAAAGACACACAUACUGCAUAUUUCCAGCUCUAUAUUUAUAUUCUGGGGCUCUA
Molecule: long non-coding RNA, 564 nt
Organism: Thunnus maccoyii (southern bluefin tuna)
Lineage: Eukaryota; Metazoa; Chordata; Actinopteri; Scombriformes; Scombridae
Exons: 4
Source: RefSeq, a predicted model, not a curated record